Molecule: ribosomal RNA, 494 nt
Filed under: uncultured bacterium
Lineage: Bacteria
Description: partial 16S ribosomal RNA
Rfam family: Bacterial small subunit ribosomal RNA
Source: RNAcentral
GACGAACGCUGGCGGCGUGCUUAACACAUGCAAGUCGAACGGUGAAGCGCCUUCCUUUUUGGUGGGUGUGGAUGAGUGGCGAACGGGUGAGUAACACGUGAGUAACCUGCCCCCUUCUUCUGGAUAACCGCAUGAAAGUGUGGCUAAUACGGGAUAUUCUGGGUCUGUCGCAUGAUGGGUCUGGGAAAGAUAUUGUUUCGGUGGGGGAUGGGCUCGCGGCCUAUCAGCUUGUUGGUGGGGUGAUGGCCUACCAAGGCGGUGACGGGUAGCCGGCCUGAGAGGGUGGACGGUCACACUGGGACUGGGACACGGCCCAGACUCCUACGGGAGGCAGCAGUCGGGAAUAUUGCACAAUGGGCGCAAGCCUGAUGCAGCGACGCCGCGUGAGGGAUGGAGGCCUUCGGGUUGUGAACCUCUUUCGCCAGUGAAGCAGGCCUGCCUCGUUUGUGGGUGGGUUGACGGUAGCUGGAUAAGAAGCGCCGGCUAAGUACGUG